Oncorhynchus tshawytscha (Chinook salmon) is the source of this 926-nucleotide long non-coding RNA. The record is from Ensembl. NCBI's taxonomy places the organism in Eukaryota, Metazoa, Chordata, Actinopteri, Salmoniformes, Salmonidae.
GUUGGAGUAAUGGUAGGGGUUGUUGUUGGGGUAAUGGUAAGGGUUGUCGUUGGAGUAAUGGUAGGGGUUGUUGUUGGGGUAAUUGUAGGGGUUGUUGUUGGGGUAAUGGUAGGGGUUGUUGUUGGAAUAAUGGUAGGGGUUGUUGUUGGGGUAAUUGUAGGGGUUGUUGUUGGGGUAAUGGUAAGGGUUGUCGUUGGGGUAAUGGUAAGGGUUGUCGUUGGGGUAAUGGUAGGGGUUGUUGUUGGGGUAAUGGUAGGGGUUGUUGUUGGGGUAAUGGUAAGGGUUGUUUGGGGUAAUGGUAAGGGUUGUCGUUGGGGUAAUGGUAGGGGUUGUUGUUGGGGUAAUGGUAGGGGUUGUUGUUGGGGUAAUGGUAAGGGUUGUCGUUGGGGUAAUGGUAAGGGUUGUUGUUGGGGUAAUGGUAGGGGUUGUGGUUGGGGUAAUGGUAGGGGUUGUUGUUGGGGUAAUGGUAGGGGUUGUCGUUGGGGUAAUGGUAGGGGUUGUUGUUGGGGUAAUGGUAGGGGUUGUCGUUGGGGUAAUGGUAGGGGUUGUUGUUGGGGUAAUGGUAAGGGUUGUCGUUGGGGUAAUGGUAGGGGUUGUCGUUGGGGUAAUGGUAAGGGUUGUUGUUGGGGUAAUGGUAGGGGUUGUCGUUGGGGUAAUGGUAGGGGUUGUCGUUGGGGUAAUGGUAAGGGUUGUUGUUGGGGUAAUGGUAGGGGUUGUCGAUGGGGUAAUGGUAAGGGUUGUCGUUGGGGUAAUGGUAGGGGUUGUGGUUGGGGUAAUGGUAAGGGUUGUCAUUGGGGUAAUGGUAAGGGUUGUCGUUGGGGUAAUGGUAGGGGUUGUCGUUGGGGUAAUGGUAAGGGUUGUGGUUGGGGUAAUGGUAAGGGUUGUGGUUGGGUUUGAUAUAGUAGUUUCUUCUGUCUGUAUUGUCA